RNAcentral lists this ribosomal RNA (376 nucleotides) under Microsporidia sp. RNAcentral describes it as "SSU rRNA". It matches the Rfam family "Eukaryotic small subunit ribosomal RNA", at positions 1392 to 1791 of the family's 1831-position model. Lineage: Eukaryota; Fungi; Microsporidia. The record is from RNAcentral.
CCAUUGCUGUAUUUUGUAAGAUGCAGGACUCAUUAGGUGCAACUAAUGGGAAGAGAGUGGCAAUAACAGGUCUGUGAUGCCCUUAGAUGUUCUGGGCCGCACGCGCGCUACACUGACAGAGGCAGCAAGAGGGAAGGUUUACCGAAGGGUAUGCCUAAUCUGUAAGCUCUGUCGUGAUGGGGAUAGACCAUUGUAAUUAUUGGUCUUUAACGAGGAAUUCCUAGUAAAUGCAAGUCAUUAGCUUGCGUUGAUUAUGUCCCUGCCCUUUGUACACACCGCCCGUCGCUACUACCGAUUGAGUGUGUUGAUGAAGUGCAGAGAAUUGAGCAAUUGGUGAACUGCAAUGAAUUGAUACAUUUAGAGGAAGUAAAAGUCG